Molecule: non-coding RNA, 506 nt
Organism: Epinephelus lanceolatus (giant grouper)
Lineage: Eukaryota; Metazoa; Chordata; Actinopteri; Perciformes; Serranidae
Source: RefSeq, a predicted model, not a curated record
CUGACCAGCUGCACUGUGAUCUGUUUCAAUGAGAAACACGUAAGUAAUAUUUUUUUAAAGUAAUUUUUUAAAAGUGGUCAUUUUGUCAGAGUGUAUGAACGACUGUUUAUUUACCCUUACUAUGUCCAACAGAUGAAUGACCUCAUUAAUCUGAUAAAGCCAACGCUGUCAUUGGAUUACAGCCUCCUCAAAAACAUUGAUUUUGUCACUGAUGUCAUGGUGCCAGAGACCACAAUUGACAUCCUGGUGAGACUAGAAGGUUUUUCAAGAUUUUAUGCCGAGAAAAUCCUCGGAACGAUCAUCGAGUGAUCAGACGUCCCAUGGGGUGAUGUGGCAGCUGCAGUUUAGUUCCUUAUGCUCAGUUCAUGCAUUCAUACAACAUACAUUACAUCUUACACACAUGCACAUCGUACACUACUGAUAGUACUGAUGUUCACAUCCCAUUUAUUCAUUAUUUUCCUUGUUUCACAUUUUGUUCCUUUUGUUAAUAAAUCUACUUUGUUACA